This 1398-nucleotide long non-coding RNA is filed under the name Helianthus annuus (common sunflower). RNAcentral's name for it is "hypothetical non coding rna". Lineage: Eukaryota; Viridiplantae; Streptophyta; Magnoliopsida; Asterales; Asteraceae. The record is from RNAcentral.
CCACCUCUUCCUAUCUUCUCCCGCCCCUCUCCUUCCACACAUCAACUACCAGCAACAAAAUUAACGAAUUCCCACUUCACAGGUUUGGAUUUGUAAACGUUGAGGGUUCCGAUUUGUAAACAUAGGCUUCUAUUGGAAACUAGGGUUCCGAUUUGAAAAGGAUUUUGCUAUCAGCAAGUAUCAACCGAUUCAUCCUUCACAUCUCCAUCCCUCUGGUAUAUGUAAGCUUUUUUUGUUCAAUUUUUUUGGAUUUUAAGUUUUGAGUCUUUAUUCAUGAAGUGGUUUGGGAUGGGUUGAAACCAGUUUAGCUCAUAACGAUUUGGUCCAUCUCUUGUUGAUUUAGUGUUUCUCAGUUUGAGAGAGAUAUUAUCAACUGAAUUUAUAAUCAGGUUGAAUUCUAGCUAGAUUAAGUAUAGCUCUAUUUAGGAUAUUAUCGCUUGAAUUUAUAGUUAGGUUAAAUAUAACUGUUUGUGAUUAGUCAUUUGCUUGCAGUUUAUUACAUCAAAACUUUGAAAUGGAACUCACCUGAAUUAUUAAGCUCCUUUUGAAUUAAGUUGCAAAUUGUUAAGUCUGUUGUUAAGUUUUAUAUAUGUGUGUUAGUUAAAUCACUUAUCGAUUUAGUGUUUCUCUGGUUGAGAUAUCAUCAACUGAAUUUCUACCUUGGUUGAAUUUCUAGCUAGAUUAGGUGGAUUAGUGUAGCUCUAUUUAGGAUAUUAUCAAUGAAUGCAUUUCUGUUGUUAUGUCAAAUUCAUUCAUUUCCUUGCAGUUAACUAAAUCAAAUAUGUGAAAUCCAAAAGUAUAUUUGAUAUAAUCUCAAAUUUUACAUUUCUUUGUAGUGUAUUAAGCCUUUCAUAUGCAAACUUCCACUGACAUUCAAUUUUUCAUUUGCAUUCACCAGAUUCUGUAAUGACAUUUUUGAAUUUCAAUUACUACAUUUUAAAUGUCACUAUGAAGGUGAUACUGAUAUGGGUGCGGCUACUGUUUGCAUGUGACCCAUGAACUGGCUUUUGAAUUGGUCAAUUGGUUUCUUUCGUUCUCGUUCAUCUCUCAAUCUUUUUUUGACGUUUUUCAUAGAAAAAAACCUGCGUUUUUUGCUGAAAAACUGCAGUUUUUUGGCCAAACCGGGGUGAAAAGCGCAGAGGCGGAGGUUAUAAACAACGAGGUUGCUGCCGAUGACGGGAGACCUUCAUCUCCGCCAGAUGGUGAGGAGGAGUUCAUUGAUGAUGAUGGGACUGUGUACAAGUGGGACAAGACGCUUAGAGCCUGGGUUCCUCAGCCAAGAUGACUGAUGGUCGAGCAGCGACCCCGGCGGGACUUAUUUCAGCAUCAAUAGCACAUGCUUUUGCACUAUUUGUUGCAGUUUCGGUUGGUGCUAACAUAUCAUGGGGUCAUGUGAAC